Long non-coding RNA from Saccostrea echinata, 526 nucleotides. RefSeq lists it as uncharacterized. The record is from RefSeq and is a predicted model, not a curated record. The transcript is spliced from 4 exons. Lineage: Eukaryota; Metazoa; Mollusca; Bivalvia; Ostreida; Ostreidae.
UAUAACUCAGCCUGUGAUAUACCCAGCUACAGAUCUAAAACCUUACACCCACUACAUUGUUAAAGUAGCAGCAGUGAAUGGAAAUGGAGAAGGACGCUUUAGUAAUGCAACAGUGAAGACUGAUGAAGAAAUUCCAAAAAAACCUGGACAGAUAACUGCAACAAAUAUAGAGGCCAAAAGUUUAAAAUUGUCCUGGAGUGUAGCAGAUCCCUCACCUGGCAACACAACAUACACUGUGCAUGUGUAUGAAGGAACUGAUGAUAUUGGAACCAACUUUAAUCUGAGAGAACCAAAACUGAAGACAUACGGAUUUCACCAGAAGUCUGUGUCCAUAGACGAGUUAGAGGAAUACUGGCCGUACAAAUUCAAAGUUGAUGCUGCUACAAUAAAAGGGAAUACAACAUCAGAUUUAUCAAAUAUUGUCAGAACAAAACAAGCAGCACCAGGACAAGUGGAAAACCUUACUGUCAAUACAAAACCUGGAAAUUACAGAAUAGCCUAUGCAUAUUGGAACAUUCCAUUACCG